GGUGGGUAGGGCAGCACUCACUGCCUGUGAUCAUCAGUGUCCUUGUUCUGCUCCCUCCUCUCACCCACCCCACCCCUGCCAAGGCCUCCCUAGCCCUUCAACUGUGAGGCUUUGGGAGGUCUCAGGCUCAGCAUAUCUCUUUCAAAGAAGACUUCCUGACAGAAGACCAUCUGUUCCUCUUUACCAUGAAGUCAUAGUACUAUAUUUGUGACAGCACAAUCAUUUCCAUGGCAACAGGAUGUGGUCCUCAUCACUGAAUCCUGAUUUCACUCUGACAAAGAUCAAGCAGCAGGGGAUUGGCGUUGCGUCCAUGUAGACCUGAGACCCCCUGGCUAUGUGUCUCAGGAUGUGUCCUUCAGUUCUGCCUCCUGAGCCUCAAGACAGUCUCACUCUGUUGCCCAGGCUGGAGUGCAGUGGCGCAAUCUCGGCUCACUACAACCUCCACCUCCCGGAUUCAAGUAAUUCUUCUGCUUCAGCCUCCCAAGUAGCUGGGAUUACAGGCGUGAGCCACUGCUCCCGGCCCUACACUUAUCUUUAAUGUGCUUCCUUUUCAAUGUCUAAUGUUACUUUCAGACUCCUAUAAUAUAGAAGUUCAGGCAUUCUUUAAAAACAAUGCUAACCACCACCAAAACAACAAUAACCAUAAUAAACUCAACUUUGCUUUUUGGUUGGCAGAAAAUGUUGAAAAAUGUAUGAAAUUAAAGCCAACCGUAAGUAGUCUACCUCAGAAAUAGCUGCUAUUAACAUUUUAUUAUAUGUAUGACCAUUUUCUAUGUAAUUCUAUUUCAUAGUUGCACUUUACAUCUAUAGUUUUGUAUCUUUCAGGCAUAAUUUAGUAUACUUUUAGCCAUGGUUUUCCAUCACUUUUCUGGUAGAUGAGCUGUAUGUAUUCCUUUUCCUGCUGGGAAAUAGAAUGUGAACAAGUAAACUAUGCAAAAUCUCAUUCUGAAGGACUUUACAGUUGACUGGGACACUUACGUGGAUUAUCUGAUUGCAUGCCUGUACUCGAUCUCAAGUGGAAUGGUUCCAAAGACCUCUACCACGGCAUUUGUCACUCUAUAAUAUAACUUCCCUUUUACUUAACUGUCUUUUAAACUUAAGCUCUGAGAGCAGGACUGUUUGUUCACCAUUUUCACCCUAAUGACUAGCAUAUGACCUGAUACAAUGAAAAUUCUAUUUAUGAAAAGACUGAAAGACUGAAUAAAUUACUAAAUACUAAAA
Homo sapiens (human) is the source of this 1221-nucleotide long non-coding RNA. RefSeq lists it as uncharacterized. Lineage: Eukaryota; Metazoa; Chordata; Mammalia; Primates; Hominidae. The record is from RefSeq and is a predicted model, not a curated record. The transcript is spliced from 4 exons.